This 786-nucleotide ribosomal RNA is filed under the name uncultured bacterium. Its description in RNAcentral is "bacterial SSU rRNA". It matches the Rfam family "Bacterial small subunit ribosomal RNA", at positions 8 to 808 of the family's 1533-position model. The record is from RNAcentral.
AGAGUAUGAUCAUGGCUCAGGACGAACGCUGGCGGCGUGCUUAACACAUGCAAGUCGAACGGUGAACCAGGGCUUGCCCUGGGGAUCAGUGGCGAACGGGUGAGUAACACGUGGGCAACCUGCCCCAGACUCUGGGAUAACUUCGGGAAACCGGAGCUAAUACCGGAUACGAAUCGAGUUGGCAUCUUCUCGAUUGGAAAGUUUUUCGGUCUGGGAUGGGCCCGCGGCCUAUCAGCUUGUUGGUGGGGUAAUGGCCUACCAAGGCGACGACGGGUAGCCGGCCUGAGAGGGCGAACGGCCACACUGGGACUGAGACACGGCCCAGACUCCUACGGGAGGCAGCAGUGGGGAAUAUUGCGCAAUGGGCGAAAGCCUGACGCAGCGACGCCGCGUGAGGGACGACGGCCUUCGGGUUGUAAACCUCUUUCAGCAGGGAUGAAGCGAAAGUGACAGUACCUGCAGAAGAAGCACCGGCUAACUACGUGCCAGCAGCCGCGGUAAUACGUAGGGUGCAAGCGUUGUCCGGAAUUAUUGGGCGUAAAGAGCCCGUAGGCGGCUUGUCACGUCGGAUGUGAAAAUCCAGGGCUCAACCCUGGACCUGCAUUCGAUACGGGCAGGCUAGAAUUCGGUAGGGGAGACUGGAAUUCCUGGUGUAGCGGUGAAAUGCGCAGAUAUCAGGAGGAACACCGGUGGCGAAGGCGGGUCUCUGGGCCGAUAUUGACGCUGAGGAGCGAAAGCGUGGGGAGCGAACAGGAUUAGAUACCCUGGUAGUCCACGCCGUAAACG